UGUAUUUGGGCUAAAACAUUCUUUGUGGGUGUCCAAUUUCCUAUAAUAUAAAGUCAUCAUGUUUUAGGCAACUAAGGAGUCCUGGUAAAUAUGUCACAGCAUUGAGGCUGGUGGAUUACCAGUCUUACAUUUGAUCUAGAACAACGAUGAAUAACACUUCAGUCCACAUUUGUAUUCACCCGAUCACUCUAUGACAAUGUAAAAACAAAAAUAAA
Molecule: non-coding RNA, 215 nt
Organism: Pelobates cultripes (western spadefoot toad)
Lineage: Eukaryota; Metazoa; Chordata; Amphibia; Anura; Pelobatidae
Source: the annotation of a GenBank genome assembly